GACGAACCGUGCGAACGUUAUUCGGAAUCACUGGGCUUAAAGCGCGUGUAGGCGGGACGGCACGUCGGUCGCUGAAAGCCCCCGGCUCAACCGGGGAAUGGGCGCCGAUACGACCGCCCUGGAGGGACGUAGGGGGACCUGGAACUUCCGGCGGAGCGGUGAAAUGCGUUGAGAUCGGAAGGAACGCCCGUGGCGAAAGCGAGGUCCUGGACGUCUGCUGACGCUGAGACGCGAAAGCCAGGGGAGCGAACGGG
This 254-nucleotide unclassified non-coding RNA is filed under the name uncultured Planctomycetia bacterium. Its description in RNAcentral is "contains 16S-23S intergenic spacer region". It matches the Rfam family "Bacterial small subunit ribosomal RNA", at positions 524 to 776 of the family's 1533-position model. Lineage: Bacteria; Pseudomonadati; Planctomycetota; Planctomycetia. The record is from RNAcentral.